This is a non-coding RNA of Spodoptera litura, 425 nucleotides long. The record is from RefSeq and is a predicted model, not a curated record. Lineage: Eukaryota; Metazoa; Arthropoda; Insecta; Lepidoptera; Noctuidae.
ACGCGUUGCCCGCCGCCGAUGACGCGUUGCCCGCCGCUGGUGCAGGGUCGCCUGCCGCCGGUGACGCGUUGCCCGCCGCCGCAAUCGACGCUGCGCCCUACGCCGCGCCCGACGUGCCGCCCGAUGCCGAGACACCGAACUUUCAACAAACGACUUCUCUGCCCGCUGUUUCCCCUUCUCCGCGGUCUGCGAACGGGGCCAGCGCGACGCCGCCCACCCGCAGCCAGCCGCCGCCGUCCAGCACGGAGCCAGCGCAGCCGGUGUCGUCGCAGCCGUCGGCGCGGCCCGCGUUCGAGUUCGAGCCCAACCGGCCCGACUUCAAGGGUGCACCCGAGCGAACCUCACGCGUGUACUUGAAGGCGGGCGAGUAUGGCGAGAACGGCGCCGACUACGGCGGAGAGGACGCGCCGCCGCCGCCGAGCACG